This 494-nucleotide ribosomal RNA is filed under the name uncultured bacterium. RNAcentral describes it as "partial 16S ribosomal RNA". It matches the Rfam family "Bacterial small subunit ribosomal RNA", at positions 28 to 507 of the family's 1533-position model. The record is from RNAcentral.
GACGAACGCUGGCGGCGUGCUUAACACAUGCAAGUCGAACGGUGAAGCGCCUUCCUUUUUGGUGGGUGUGGAUGAGUGGCGAACGGGUGAGUAACACGUGAGUAACCUGCCCCCUUCUUCUGGAUAACCGCAUGAAAGUGUGGCUAAUACGGGAUAUUCUGGGUCUGUCGCAUGAUGGGUCUGGGAUAGAUAUUGUUUCGGUGGGGGAUGGGCUCGCGGCCUAUCAGCUUGUUGGUGGGGUGAUGGCCUACCAAGGCGGUGACGGGUAGCCGGCCUGAGAGGGUGGACGGUCACACUGGGACUGAGACACGGCCCAGACUCCUACGGGAGGCAGCAGUGGGGAAUAUUGCACAAUGGGCGCAAGCCUGAUGCAGCGACGCCGCGUGAGGGAUGGAGGCCUUCGGGUUGUGAACCUCUUUCGCCAGUGAAGCAGGCCUGCCUCGUUUGUGGGUGGGUUGACGGUAGCUGGAUAAGAAGCGCCGGCUAACUACGUG